UCUGGUUGAUUCUGCCAGUAGUCAUAUGCUUGUCUCAAAGAUUAAGCCAUGCAUGUCUAAGUAUAAGCACUUUAUACUGUGAAACUGCGAAUGGCUCAUUAAAUCAGUUAUCGUUUAUUUGAUAGUACCUUACUACAUGGAUACCUGUGGUAAUUCUAGAGCUAAUACAUGCUAAAAACCUCGACUUCGGAAGGGGUGUAUUUAUUAGAUAAAAAACCAAUGCCCUUCGGGGCUCCUUGGUGAUUCAUAAUAACUUAACGAAUCGCAUGGCCUUGCGCCGGCGAUGGUUCAUUCAAAUUUCUGCCCUAUCAACUUUCGAUGGUAGGAUAGUGGCCUACCAUGGUGGCAACGGGUAACGGGGAAUUAGGGUUCGAUUCCGGAGAGGGAGCCUGAGAAACGGCUACCACAUCCAAGGAAGGCAGCAGGCGCGCAAAUUACCCAAUCCCGACACGGGGAGGUAGUGACAAUAAAUACUGAUACGGGGCUCUUUUGGGUCUCGUAAUUGGAAUGAGUACAAUCUAAAUCCCUUAACGAGGAACAAUUGGAGGGCAAGUCUGGUGCCAGCAGCCGCGGUAAUUCCAGCUCCAAUAGCGUAUAUUAAAGUUGUUGCAGUUAAAAAGCUCGUAGUUGAACCUUGGGUCUGGCUGGCCGGUCCGCCUCACCGCGAGUACUGGUCCGGCUGGACCUUUCCUUCUGGGGAACCUCAUGGCCUUCACUGGCUGUGGGGGGAACCAGGACUUUUACUGUGAAAAAUUAGAGUGUUCAAAGCAGGCCUUUGCUCGAAUACAUUAGCAUGGAAUAGAAUAGGACGUGCGGUUCUAUUUGUUGGUUUCUAGGACCGCCGUAAUGAUUAAUAGGGAUAGUCGGGGGCGUCAGUAUUCAGCUGUCAGAGGUGAAAUUCUUGGAUUUGCUGAAGACUAACUACUGCGAAAGCAUUCGCCAAGGAUGUUUCAUUAAUCAGGGAACGAAAGUUAGGGGAUCGAAGACGAUCAGAUACCGUCGUAGUCUUAACCAUAAACUAUGCCGACUAGGGAUCGGGCGGUGUUUCUAUGAUGACCCGCUCGGCACCUUACGAGAAAUCAAAGUUUUUGGGUUCUGGGGGGAGUAUGGUCGCAAGGCUGAAACUUAAAGAAAUUGACGGAAGGGCACCACAAGGCGUGGAGCUGGCUUAAUUUGACUCAACACGGGAACUCAGGUCAGACAAAAUAAGGAUUGACAGAUUGAGAGCUCUUCUUGAUCUUUUGGAUGGUGGUGCAGGCCGUUCUUAGUUGUGUGGAGUGAUU
RNAcentral lists this ribosomal RNA (1283 nucleotides) under Aspergillus oryzae. RNAcentral's name for it is "SSU rRNA". It matches the Rfam family "Eukaryotic small subunit ribosomal RNA", at positions 1 to 1311 of the family's 1831-position model. The record is from RNAcentral. Lineage: Eukaryota; Fungi; Ascomycota; Eurotiomycetes; Eurotiales; Aspergillaceae.